Molecule: ribosomal RNA, 468 nt
Filed under: uncultured bacterium
Lineage: Bacteria
Description: partial 16S ribosomal RNA
Rfam family: Bacterial small subunit ribosomal RNA
Source: RNAcentral
GACGAACGCUGGCGGCGUGCUUAACACAUGCAAGUCGAACGGAAAGGCCAUGCUUUUGUGGGUCGCACGAUUGCCGAACGGGGGAGUAACACGUGAGUAACAUCCCCUUGACUUUGGGGUAAAUCCAGGAAACUGGGGCUCAAACCGGGUAGGAGAUCCUGCUGCACGGUGGGGGUUGGUAAGUUUCGGCGGUUGGGGAUGGACUGGCGGCUUAUCGGCUUGUUUGGGGGGUAGGGGAGUACAAAGGCUGUGACGGGUAGCCGGCCUGAGAGGGUGACCGGGCACCUGGGGACUGAGGUAGGGCGCAGACGCGUACGGGAGGCAGUAGUGGGGAAUAUUGCACAAUGGGCGGAAGCCUGAUGCAGAGACGCCGCGUGCGGGAUGACGGCCUUCUGGUGGAAAACCGCUUUCGCAUGUGACAAAGCGUGAGUGACGGUAAUUGGUAAAGAAGCACCGGCUAACUACGUG